RNAcentral lists this ribosomal RNA (253 nucleotides) under uncultured bacterium. RNAcentral describes it as "partial 16S ribosomal RNA". It matches the Rfam family "Bacterial small subunit ribosomal RNA", at positions 524 to 776 of the family's 1533-position model. The record is from RNAcentral.
GACGAACCGUGCAAACGUUAUUCGGAAUCACUGGGCUUAAAGCGCGUGUAGGCGGGACGGCACGUCGGUCGUUGAAAGCCCCCGGCUCAACCGGGGAAUGGGCGCCGAUACGACCGUCCUUGAGGAACGUAGGGGGACCUGGAACUUCCGGUGGAGCGGUGAAAUGCGUUGAGAUCGGAAGGAACGCCGUGGCGAAAGCGAGGUCCUGGACGUUAUCUGACGCUGAGACGCGAAAGCCAGGGGAGCGAACGGG